GACGGGAGUGCUACAAGCAAAAUUCAGGUGUUCUGGGAGGGGCCUGCGGCCGAUUAGCUAGUUGGUGGGGUAAAGGCCUACCAAGGCGAUGAUCGGUAGCUGUUCUGAGAGGAAGACCAGCCACACGGGAACUGAGAAACGGUCCCGACUCCUACGGGGGGCAGCAGUGAGGAAUAUUGCACAAUGGGGGAAACCCUGAUGCAGCAACGCCGCGUGAAGGAUGAAGGCUUUCGAGUUGUAAACUUCUUUUCUGGGGGAAGAGGAAGGACGGUACCCUAUGAAUWAGACACGGCUAACUACGUGCCAGCAGCCGCGGUAAUACGUAGGUGUCGAGCGUUAUCCGGAAUUACUGGGCGU
RNAcentral lists this ribosomal RNA (357 nucleotides) under uncultured bacterium. Its description in RNAcentral is "bacterial SSU rRNA". It matches the Rfam family "Bacterial small subunit ribosomal RNA", at positions 185 to 561 of the family's 1533-position model. The record is from RNAcentral.